This is a long non-coding RNA of Numida meleagris (helmeted guineafowl), 1489 nucleotides long. RefSeq lists it as uncharacterized. The transcript is spliced from 3 exons. NCBI's taxonomy places the organism in Eukaryota, Metazoa, Chordata, Aves, Galliformes, Numididae. The record is from RefSeq and is a predicted model, not a curated record.
GAUGCUUCAACAGCAAGAACAACAAAAAAAACAAACUGUUUUGUGUGCAUCUCUUCUCACAGAUUCCAGUCAACAUAGGACCAUGCACAGGACAGUGUGUCUAGAUGCAAUCACUGAAGCCCCAUAACAUGAUAUAAGAUAAUCCUAUUGGAAUGGAAUGUGGGUCAUAUGAAAUAGCUACACACUAAAGAGGGAAGAAACUCAGCUCUAGAAGACAGAUAUAUAAUAGAAGUAGACAGGUUACACGCAAGCGGAUAUGGAGGCAAGAACUAGAAAUAAAAGGAAAAGCUUUUGUCAUCAACUGGCUUGAUGUAGCUGGGCCAAAAGAAGUAAGGUUCUUAGGAGUCCAAAAGUUCAGUGAGCAGAAGGCAGUAAAAGCAUGGCAAUAAAUCCCGCACUAACAGCAAUAACACAAAUGGGAGAUUAGCUUGCGUACUGCUGUUCCCAAAGGAGUUUUUCAAGGGUGAGGUUUGUGUUGGGAACCUCUGAAUCAGGCUCAAAAGAUUUUAGGGAAGGACAGAACAGAGACAGGUCAAUGCCAUAGUUCAUAGAAGCAAGCAGUAAGAAAUGCAUUUUGCAAGAAGAACAAUUUUAGAAUAGAGGCCCCAGAGCCAGCUCCAUGGUUGUAAAUGAUCUUGAAUGUAAAUUACCAGUUUAACUUCAUGAGGAAUGAAUUUUGCAGGAGUGCAGUGUUGGAGUUACAGCAGCUCUUCAGGCCUAUGAGGUUUUGGUUCAACUUCAAGGUGCCAGCUGCCAUCCAUAGGCAUCUGUUGGAGCGAGACAGCCUUCUGAUGCUGCCUCCCCAGCAUGGAAGCUAACUGCAUGGGAGCAGCAGAGAAAGAAGAGGAAAGUUGGCAUAAGGAAAUAUGGAAAAAGCAUCUUUUUAGUUAAUGUCUGUAAUAUUAAGAAAGGAGAAGGAGUUCAAAGGUGCAUGGGGAUUGCUGGGUUACAGCCUGAACCAAUGACUGAGCACCAGGUGAGAAGGCAUGGGUUACCCAGGGAGCUCAGGUGCAAGCAACACUCCUGAGAGACCCUCAUUUAAGGGUUAGCAGCCAAGAGAGCAACAUCUCUCUUCAGAGAUCAUGCUCUUCUCAAGAUAUCACUGGUCUUCAGAAAGGGGAGCAUGCCACUGACAGUGAGCUGGGAUUGCCUGCCUCACCCUGUCCCCUUCCUCUCAGCGUGUCCCAUUCAAGUGCUGUGCUGAGGGAGCUUCCAGAGAGCCACAGCUGUGGUGUUUAGGAGAUGUGCACCCUCCAGAAGGAUCCUCACAGGGGACACAGGUGACUCAGGGUGACUGGCACAGGCUGCCCAGAAAAUCUACAGUGUCUCCAUCCUUCAAAACCUGACCAGAUACAUCCCUGAUCAACCUGCCCCAGUUGGCCUUGCUUGGAGUGGGGAAUUUGGACCAGAAUAAAUAUCCCCAAAGAUCCCAUCCAACCUCAAUCUUUGGGUGGUUCUAAGAGUGAGGAGAGUGGAGUACAGGAUUCUU